CGGACAGUGCCUGGUGGGUAGUUUGGCUGGGGCUCUCUCCUCCGAAAGAGUAAGGGAUGAGCACGAAGGUGGGCUAAUCACGGUUGGACAUCGGGAGGUUAGUGCAAUGGCAUAAGGCCGCUUGACUGCGAGAAUGACAAUUCGAGCAGGUGCGAAAGCAGGUCAUAGUGGUCCGGUGGUUCUGAACGGAAGGGACAUCGCUCAACGGAUAAAAGGUACUC
This 221-nucleotide ribosomal RNA is filed under the name Vibrio parahaemolyticus. Its description in RNAcentral is "partial 23S ribosomal RNA". It matches the Rfam family "Bacterial large subunit ribosomal RNA", at positions 2248 to 2468 of the family's 2925-position model. The record is from RNAcentral. Lineage: Bacteria; Pseudomonadati; Pseudomonadota; Gammaproteobacteria; Vibrionales; Vibrionaceae.